RNAcentral lists this ribosomal RNA (520 nucleotides) under uncultured bacterium. RNAcentral describes it as "bacterial SSU rRNA". It matches the Rfam family "Bacterial small subunit ribosomal RNA", at positions 32 to 524 of the family's 1533-position model. The record is from RNAcentral.
AAGUAACGCUAGCUAUAUGCUUAACACAUGCAAGUCGAACGUUGUUUUCGGGCGCGCUUGUCUCGCCUUGAGAACAAAGUGGCGAACGGGUGCGUAACGCGUGGGUAACCUGCCCAUCAGAGGGGGAUAACACUUGGAAACAGGUGCUAAUACCGCAUAAUUCCUUUUACCGCAUGGUAAAAGGCUGAAAGGCGCUUCUGGUGUCACUGAUGGAUGGACCCGCGGUGCAUUAGCUAGUCGGUGGGGUAACGGCCUACCGAGGCGAUGAUGCAUAGCCGACCUGAGAGGGUGAUCGGCCACAUUGGGACUGAGACACGGCCCAAACUCCUACGGGAGGCAGCAGUAGGGAAUCUUCGGCAAUGGACGAAAGUCUGACCGAGCAACGCCGCGUGAGUGAAGAAGGUUUUCGGAUCGUAAAACUCUGUUGUUAGAGAAGAACAGGAGAAGUAGUAACUGGCUUCUUUUUGACGGUAUCUAACCAGAAAGCCACGGCUAACUACGUGCCAGCAGCCGCGUAAAC